Molecule: long non-coding RNA, 651 nt
Organism: Bolinopsis microptera
Lineage: Eukaryota; Metazoa; Ctenophora; Tentaculata; Lobata; Bolinopsidae
Exons: 3
Source: RefSeq, a predicted model, not a curated record
ACAAGUUCCACAAUGAUAUUGAUGACGUUAAUUACAAUUUGCAGCGCCGUAAACCCGCCUUAUAUAUAUAUAUAUACUCAUAUAUUCGUACCAUUACCAACUCAUCAAGUCGAAUUUUAAACUGAGAGAACGACUCAUUUGACUCACCUCAUUCUUCUUGUGACGAUGAAAUAUUGUUUAGUUUUAGUUUUGCUCUGUGUUUGUGUAGUGCAAGGAGGUUCGGAGGAAAAUACCUUUAAAGAGGAUUCAUCUUGUAAGGUAUCUGGACAACUGAGUGUGUGCCCGGAAUACCAAGAACUGUUAAAGCAAAUAAUCGCAUCGAAUGGAUGCCUGAAAGAGGAUCGAGUCUCAAUAUCUGACAUAGUGGCACAAUUAGCUGACUUGCUAACUGAAGACCUAGGAAAGUUGAAAGAUCUCAAAAGACCGAUCCACAGCCGCUCUCGAAGGUCACCUGGUUGUCCUUACGUGUGUCAGCCUAGAUGUUACAAUAAACGAGUGUGCACUCAGGAGUGUUACUACGACUGUGAUGACCCCUAUCUGUGCCAAUGGUGGCCUUAUGAGGAUCCGUGCCCAUAAACUUGAAGAUCUGCUAAGACUUAUUCUUGAUCAGGCGUUCAACUAUUUUCUCUAUUUAUUAACUGCCAUCGAUUA